This is a long non-coding RNA of Teleopsis dalmanni, 1617 nucleotides long. RefSeq lists it as uncharacterized. The record is from RefSeq and is a predicted model, not a curated record. The transcript is spliced from 4 exons. NCBI's taxonomy places the organism in Eukaryota, Metazoa, Arthropoda, Insecta, Diptera, Diopsidae.
AAAUUUGAUAUCUUUUCUAUAUUUAAGUUCUUUUUUUCAUUAUGCAUACUAAUAUUUACUCUCUACUUUAUGUUUUCUUCUAUCUAACGAAAAAUGAUCGAUAGACCAUAUCUAGGUUACAACAACUUUAUAUCAUGUGCUUUUUAUAAGUCUUGUUGUAGUCCGCGUUAUUUAAAUGUUCCAAUGUAUAAAUGAGAAGUAGGAAACCGAAAAGCGUUUAUCAAAACUGACAUGAGGGUCCUUUACAUUCCCAUAGGUAAUAAUGGAGAUGAUUUAAUCUGCUUUUAUGACAUUUUCGUUGUUAUUCCCUAGUGAAUUCCUUUAAUUAUUGAGAUAACGGCUUAUUUCGUUUCGUUGAUGAAAAAAUUGUCCUUAUAGUAGAGAUGAGAAACUAUUGGUUGUCACAGUUGAUUAAUGUUCCAGGACUCCUGAAACCAACUGUCUGUCAUUAUUAUGGCUGGUCUAUAUUCAAUUUUUUUUUAUAAAAAAUUAAUUGUGGAGACAUUUUAAAAUAAUAAUUUUUAUGAUCAAGAUUCAUUACAAAUAACUAUGAAAUUUAUAACAAAAUGGUAACAAUUAUCAAUCUUACAGUGUGGAAAAGAUGGGAUAUACCAAAGAGAUAGAGAAGAGAUAUACCAAAAUCACGUCCAAAGAUAAUGUGGAGGCGAACAGUAUUUACCGAAACAUUCAAAUUGUUUAACGAGCUUUGAUAUAUGGCACAGAAUAGAGACAACUGGAAACUUUUUGUAGAAGACUAAGUUUCUCGACAUGCAAUAAGUUUCUAAAUGUUUGUACUUUUGGAACAUGUCAUAAUAUAUAUAAUAUAUGACCAAAAUAUCACAAAGUAAAUCGAAGAAUUGGUUUGAUUUCAAGAAUGGCCGGAUGUACGUCCCGGAGCCACUUGUCGACUUCGACGAAAAGACGAAAAAAAAGACGAAAGAAACACAUCCCAGCGGGCUACUACUUUGUGUAGAUUUGGUCUAGCGAUUUUACUAUGUGUAGAGAAGGUGUUUUGUAGGAAUUAAUGGAAUUCUGUAUCGUUUUUAUGUUUAUGUCAAAUUGUUGAUGGCUAAAUAUGCUGUAAAUUCAUCUUGCACCUGUGUCUAUAUUUAUUCAAGUUCAAAUAAUGUCCAAAAAGGGUUAUUGAAAAAGCUUUUACAGAUAUUGCAAAAUACUGACGAGCUUCACAUGUGGAAACUAGAUCAAAUAUUAAUGAUAAUCUAAAAUGUGAUAUUAAAAUUACAAUACCAAAACUGUGAUUAUGGCUUUAUCAAUUCAAUUGUUUAAAUGUUUUCUGUCGUUGGAGCUGUAGCCCGUGGGGAUGUGUAGUCCCUUUGGAGGAUGGUGGAUGGCAUUUAAUCGGCGAAGUUAAUGAGUUACUUCGGGACAUAGACCCUUGGAGCUUUAAAGUUUAUCUAUGGUGUCCUAAUUUCUAGCUAAAAGUAUUGAUAGUUACCGUCAAAUAGAACAAUAUGAAAGAGGCUUUUCUUUAGUACAACCGGCAAAUUAAAUUAAAUCUUUUAUUGAAACUUUAAGGUCAUAGAAAGGAGUAAACAAUAAUAAUAAAUAAUUUAACUUUCUGUUUAACUAACAGUUAUUUUUAGUGCAUAAAAUAAU